UCCCCGAUAGCUCAGUUGGUAAAGAAUCUGCUUGCAGUGUAGGAAACCCUGGUUUGAUUCCUGGGUGGGGAA
RNAcentral lists this transfer RNA (72 nucleotides) under Bos taurus (domestic cattle). It matches the Rfam family "tRNA". Rfam says of the family: Transfer RNA (tRNA) molecules are approximately 80 nucleotides in length. Their secondary structure includes four short double-helical elements and three loops (D, anti-codon, and T loops). The record is from Rfam by way of RNAcentral. Lineage: Eukaryota; Metazoa; Chordata; Mammalia; Artiodactyla; Bovidae. RNAcentral also lists the same sequence under 3 other names.